RNAcentral lists this ribosomal RNA (508 nucleotides) under uncultured bacterium. Its description in RNAcentral is "partial 16S ribosomal RNA". It matches the Rfam family "Bacterial small subunit ribosomal RNA", at positions 28 to 507 of the family's 1533-position model. The record is from RNAcentral.
GACGAACGCUGGCGGCGUGCCUAAUACAUGCAAGUCGAACGCUUCUUUCCUCCCGAGUGCUUGCACUCCAUUGGAAAGAGGAGUGGCGGACGGGUGAGUAACACGUGGGUAACCUACCCAUCAGAGGGGCAUAACACUUGGAAACAGGUGCUAAUACCGCAUAACAGUUUAUGCCGCAUGGCAUAAGAGUGAAAGGCGCUUUCGGGUGUCGCUGAUGGAUGGACCCGCGGUGCAUUAGCUAGUUGGUGAGGUAACGGCUCACCAAGGCCACGAUGCAUAGCCGACCUGAGAGGGUGAUCGGCCACACUGGGACUGAGACACGGCCCAGACUCCUACGGGAGGCAGCAGUAGGGAAUCUUCGGCAAUGGACGAAAGUCUGACCGAGCAACGCCGCGUGAGUGAAGAAGGUUUUCGGAUCGUAAAACUCUGUUGUUAGAGAAGAACAAGGACGUUAGUAACUGAACGUCCCCUGACGGUAUCUAACCAGAAAGCCACGGCUAACUACGUG